This 968-nucleotide ribosomal RNA is filed under the name human gut metagenome. RNAcentral describes it as "bacterial LSU rRNA". It matches the Rfam family "Bacterial large subunit ribosomal RNA", at positions 1957 to 2925 of the family's 2925-position model. The record is from RNAcentral.
UAGCGAAAUUCCUUGUCGGGUAAGUUCCGACCUGCACGAAUGGCGUAACGAUCUCCACACUGUCUCGGCCAGAGACUCGGUGAAAUUGCAGUCGCGGUGAAAAUUCCGUGUACCCGCAGAAAGACGGAAAGACCCUGUGCACCUUUACUAUAGCUUGACAUUGGAUUUUGGGCCUGCAUGUGUAGGAUAGGUGGGAGGCUGUGAACCCUGUACGCCAGUAUGGGGGGAGCCAUCCUUGAAAUACCACCCUUGCAUGUUUAAGAUCCUAACUUCUUCCGGUUAUCCCGGAGAAAGACAGUGUCUGGCGGGUAGUUUGACUGGGGCGGUCGCCUCCUAAAGUGUAACGGAGGCAUGCAAAGGUUCCCUCAGCCUGAUCGGAAACCAGGCGCUGAGUGCAAACGCAUAAGGGAGCUUGACUGUAAGAGAGACAUCUCGAACAGGAACGAAAGUUGGCGUUAGUGAUCCGGUGGUCCCGAAUGGAAGGGCCAUCGCUCAUUGGAUAAAAGGUACGCCGGGGAUAACAGGCUGAUCGCAUCCAAGAGUUCACAUCGACGAUGCGGUUUGGCACCUCGAUGUCGGCUCAUCACAUCCUGGGGCUGAAGCAGGUCCCAAGGGUACGGCUGUUCGCCGUUUAAAGUGGUACGCGAGCUGGGUUUAAAACGUCGUGAGACAGUUUGGUCCCUAUCUUCUGUGGGCGAAGGAGAAUUGAGAGGGCCUGUCCCUAGUACGAGAGGACCGGGAUGGACGCACCCCUGGUGAUCCUGUUGUCGCGCCAGCGGCAUAGCAGGGUAGCUAUGUGCGGAAGGGAUAACCGCUGAAAGCAUCUAAGCGGGAAGCCUGCCUCAAGAUAAGUUCUCCCCUCGAAAGAGCUGAAGGGCCCGGGUAGACUACCCGGUCGAUAGGCUGGAGGUGUAAGCGCGGCGACGUGCUCAGCUGACCAGUACUAAUAGCCCGAGCGGCUUAUUUUU